RNAcentral lists this ribosomal RNA (439 nucleotides) under uncultured bacterium. Its description in RNAcentral is "partial 16S ribosomal RNA". It matches the Rfam family "Bacterial small subunit ribosomal RNA", at positions 338 to 795 of the family's 1533-position model. The record is from RNAcentral.
CCUACGGGAGGCAGCAGUGGGGAAUAUUGCACAAUGGGCGAAAGCCUGAUGCAGCAACGCCGCGUGAGCGAUGAAGGCCUUCGGGUCGUAAAGCUCUGUCCUCAAGGAAGAUAAUGACGGUACUUGAGGAGGAAGCCCCGGCUAACUACGUGCCAGCAUCCGCGGUAAUACGUCGGGGGCUAGCGUUAUCCGGAAUUACUGGGCGUAAAGGGUGCGUAGGUGGGUUCUUAAGUCAGAGGUGAAAGGGUACGGCUCAACCGUAGUAAGCCUUUGAAACUGGGAAACUUGAGUGUAGGAGAGGAGAGUGGAAUUCCUAGUGUAGCGGUGAAAUGCGUAGAUAUUAGGAGGAACACCAGUUGCGAAGGCGGCACUCUGGACUGUAACUGACACUGAGGCACGAAAGCGUGGGGAGCAAACAGGAUUAGAUACCCCUGUAGUC